RNAcentral lists this ribosomal RNA (305 nucleotides) under uncultured bacterium. Its description in RNAcentral is "bacterial SSU rRNA". It matches the Rfam family "Bacterial small subunit ribosomal RNA", at positions 335 to 637 of the family's 1533-position model. The record is from RNAcentral.
UUGCCUACGGGAGGCAGCAGUGAGGAAUAUUGGUCAAUGGGCGAGAGCCUGAACCAGCCAAGUCGCGUGAAGGAUGACGGCCCUACGGGUUGUAAACUUCUUUUGUCAGGGAGCAAUUGGGUCCACGCGUGGGCUUAGCGAGAGUACCUGAAGAAAAAGCAUCGGCUAACUCCGUGCCAGCAGCCGCGGUAAUACGGAGGAUGCGAGCGUUAUCCGGAUUUAUUGGGUUUAAAGGGUGCGCAGGCGGAGGUGCAAGUCAGCGGUCAAAUUGCGGGGCUCAACCCCGUACUGCCGUUGAAACUGCA